RNAcentral lists this long non-coding RNA (481 nucleotides) under Helianthus annuus (common sunflower). RNAcentral describes it as "hypothetical non coding rna". Lineage: Eukaryota; Viridiplantae; Streptophyta; Magnoliopsida; Asterales; Asteraceae. The record is from RNAcentral.
CCUCUCAGCUGAUCCAUCUACCUAAACAUCGUUAGGGUUUUUCACAUUGCAGUCGCCCUGUUCUCCGUCUUCAACCUUCGAUCUUCAUCUCGAUGAAUUUUAUCAGAUUGUAUCCCGAUAAAAGGAAGGACAAGGAUUCCUUAUUUCGUCAUGCUACAAUCCUACACUUCUCUAACUCCUUCCGUUGGUGAUUGAAAUGUCCCAUGAGGAGGACCUACAUGUACCCAAAUGCAAUUCUACUAUUUGUAGCUUCUCAAACAUAGUUAAGAUAUUAUAAAACUUAUAGUUAAGAGCUUGAAAUGCCUCUUAAAAGAGAACUAUUGGAGUGUUGACCAAAAUUAAUUUGACGGAUAAAAAGUACAGAUGUAGUUGAUGUAAUAGGGGUGUCGUUUGGGUUAUAUUAUCAGGUUUUGGUUAUAGCGGGUUGUGUUGUUUGGGUUUCGAAAGUUUUAUAUUUAAUCCGAGAACCAAUCUAUAUGUU